UACGGAGGGGGCUAGCGUUGUUCGGAAUUACUGGGCGUAAAGGGCGCGUAGGCGGCGUGACAAGUCACUUGUGAAAUCUCCGGGCUUAACCCGGAGCGGCCAAGUGAUACUGUCGUGCUAGAGUGCGGAAGGGGCUACUGGAAUUCUCGGUGUAGCGGUGAAAUGCGUAGAUAUCGAGAGGAACACCUGCGGCGAAGGCGGGUAGCUGGGCCGACACUGACGCUGAGGCGCGAAAGCCAGGGGAGCGAACGGG
This 253-nucleotide ribosomal RNA is filed under the name uncultured bacterium. RNAcentral describes it as "partial 16S ribosomal RNA". It matches the Rfam family "Bacterial small subunit ribosomal RNA", at positions 524 to 776 of the family's 1533-position model. The record is from RNAcentral.